GGACCCGCACAAGUAGUGGAGCAUGUGGUUUAAUUCGAAGAUACGCGCAGAACCUUACCAACACUUGACAUGUUCGUCGCGACUUUAAGAGAUUAAAGUUUUCGGUUCGGCCGGACGAAACACAGGUGCUGCAUGGCUGUCGUCAGCUCGUGUCGUGAGAUGUUGGGUUAAGUCCCGCAACGAGCGCAACCCUCACUUUUAGUUGCCAUCAUUAAGUUGGGCACUCUGAAAGAACUGCCAGUGAUAAGCUGGAGGAAGGUGGGGAUGACGUCAAGUCCUCAUGGCCCUUACGUGUUGGGCUACACACGUGCUACAAUGGUAUCUACAACAGGAAGCAAUACCGCGAGGUGGAGCAAAUCCUAGAAACCGUGCCUCAGUUCGGAUUGCAGGCUGCAACUCGCCUGCAUGAAGCCGGAAUCGCUAGUAA
This 427-nucleotide ribosomal RNA is filed under the name uncultured bacterium. Its description in RNAcentral is "bacterial SSU rRNA". It matches the Rfam family "Bacterial small subunit ribosomal RNA", at positions 917 to 1341 of the family's 1533-position model. The record is from RNAcentral.